UGGAAAAUGGGUGAAAAUGUGGAUUUUUGAUGCAUGUAUCAAAAAUCCUCAUGUUCCUGUUGCUUAUAGAAGAGGUUUUGGGAGGAAUUGGGUGGAAAAUGGGUGAAAAUGUGGCUUUUUGGUACAUGUACCCCAAAUCCUCAUGAUCAUGAUGAUUGUUGAAGGGUUCUGGAGAGGAACUGGGUGGAAAAAUGGGUGAAAAUGUGGAUUUUUGGUACAUGCACCAAAAAUCCUUGUGAUCCUGUUGCUUGCAGAAGGGUUUUGUGGAGGAAUUGGGUGGAAAAUGGGUGAAAAUGUGGCUUUUUGGUGCAUGUACCCAAAAUCCUCAUGACCAUGGUGCUUGUUGAAGGGUUUUGGUCAAGGAUUGGUUGGAAAAUGGGUGAAAAUGUGGCUUUUUGAUGCAUGUAUCAAAAAUUGUCAUGGUCCUGUUGAUUACAGAAGAGGUUUUGGGAGGAAUUGGGUGGAAAAUGAGUGAAAAUGUGGAUUUUUGGUGCAUGUACCCCAAAUCCUCAUGACCAUGGUGCUUGUUGAAGGGUUUUGGUCAAGGAUUGGGUGGAAAAUGGGUGAAAACGUGGGGUUUUGGUGCAUGUACCAAAAAUCCCCAUGAUCCCAUUGCUCGUUGUAGGGUUUUGUGGAUGAAUUGGGUGGAAAAUGGGUGAAAAUGUGGCUUUUUGGUACAUGUACCCAAAAUCCUCAUGACCAUGGUGCUUGUUGAAGGGUUUUGGUCAAGGAUUGGUUGGAAAAUGGGUGAAAAUGUGGCUUUUUGAUGCAUGUACCCCAAAUCCUCAUGACCAUGGUGCUUGUUGGAGGGUUUUGGUCAAGGAUUGGGUGGAAAAUAGGUGAAAACAUGGGGUUUUGAUGCAUGUACCAAAAAUCCCCAUGAUCCCAUUGCUCGUUGUAGGGUUUUGUGGAUGAAUUGGGUGGAAAAUGGGUAAAAACACAACUUUUUGGUGCUGACCCCCAUCCCCUUUUUUUGGUCAGUUUCCCCAGAAUGCAUCAUGGUGGCCCUGGGCGAGGAGACGGAGCUGGAGGUGGACGAAGACGUCUCCGACCUCUGGACCGCCGUGGCCUUCGUCAUCCUCUUCCUCCUCAGCCUCUGCUACAGCACCGGCGUCACCCUCUUCAAGGUCCUCUGAUCGCUGGAGGUCUUCACCCCUCCGUUGUCCCAGGGGUUGGACCAAAAUUUUUUGUGCUUUUCCCAAAAAUGCACAGAAUAAAACGAUUUUCAGACUGUUUUCACGGGCUUCAAGAACCCCUUUUUCCACCCCAAAAUGGAGCCGCGUUGCCUCAGUGAUCUCCAGGAGGCUUCGAGAGACUCUUUUUUCCCCCCAAAUGAAGCCAUGUUGUGUUGGUGCGUCACACCCUAACUUCCAUAAAUCUCCAAAAACCCCUUUUCCCCCAAAAAACAGCCUUAUUGUGUUGGUGCUUCCUAUUCAGUUUCCAUCGGGUUAACAAAAAAGACUAUUUUUUCCCCAAAAUGAAGCCUCAUCGUGUUGCUUCAUCUCAGCCUAAUCUUCAUUGAGCCUCAAGAAAUCCAUUUUUUCCCCCAAAAAAAGCACUGUUGUGUUAUCGCAUCCCAAUGUCCAUCACGUUGCCAAAAACCCAUUUUUCCCCCCAAAAAAUGAAGCCACUUUGUGUUGAUCUUAUCCUAACCACAAAGCUUCAAAAAAAAACAUUUUUUCCCUUUUUUUUUUCCCCAUUUUCCUCCCUUUUCCCCCCAUUUUCCUCCCCAGCCCUACACCCCUCCGUGGCUCGAUUGCGUGCCGGGGAGCCAAAAUUUCAUUUUUUUGACCAAAAACCCCAAAAUCCUGUUUACGACAAAAGCCGUUUUCAUUUCUCCUCUUUCCUCCCCGCCGUGGUUUCUUGGGCUGCCGCCUGAGUCAUUCGGGGAGCCGAAACUGGUUGUUUUCCCCCCAAAAAAAGCAGCGCCAAACAUCUGGAUUUCGGCGUCACCCCGGCCAGAUGUGUCCUGUUUACCCAAACCGCGCCUCUCCGUCUGAGUCACCGCACCCAAAAUAGCCGUUUCCUGCCCCAAAACCACCCCCGGCGCCGUUCCCACGGACGGGCGCGGUGCAUGAUGGGAAAAACAUGGCGGGAGCGAGGAGAAACGCGGAUUUUUUGUUGAAAAUAUGGAAAUGGAGAAACAAAUAGUGGAAAUUUGUUAAUAAAGUGGGAUUUUAAUGUUUUUUGGGCAUUUUCUGGUGUUUUUCGCCCCGUUUUGUGGCUUGUCCUCCCUCCAAGGCCGUUGGCCAAUGGGAAGGAGGGGACGGAGUGGGCAGGGGCUGGGAUCUGACGUAGAGGAUGAGGAGGAAGAGCGUGAUGAAGGCUCCUCCUCCGCCCCAUUUCACGAAGCUCGGCCCACCGCCAUCCCAGAGAUCCGUGGGGCAGGGGACGCCGUCAUUAACCCAGCUAAUUAACACCUAACGACC
This 2429-nucleotide long non-coding RNA is filed under the name Anas platyrhynchos (mallard). Its description in RNAcentral is "lncRNA (ENSAPLG00020005804.1)". Lineage: Eukaryota; Metazoa; Chordata; Aves; Anseriformes; Anatidae. The record is from RNAcentral.